CUUGGUCAUUUAGAGGAAGUAAAAGUCGUAACAAGGUUUCCGUAGGUGAACCUGCGGAAGGAUCAUUACCUAGAGUUUGUAGACUUCGGUCUGCUACCUCUUACCCAUGUCUUUUGAGUACCUUCGUUUCCUCGGCGGGUCCGCCCGCCGAUUGGACAACAUUCAAACCCUUUGCAGUUGCAAUCAGCGUCUGAAAAAACAUAAUAGUUACAACUUUCAACAACGGAUCUCUUGGUUCUGGCAUCGAUGAAGAACGCAGCGAAAUGCGAUAAGUAGUGUGAAUUGCAGAAUUCAGUGAAUCAUCGAAUCUUUGAACGCACAUUGCGCCCCUUGGUAUUCCAUGGGGCAUGCCUGUUCGAGCGUCAUUUGUACCUUCAAGCUCUGCUUGGUGUUGGGUGUUUGUCUCGCCUYUGCGUGUAGACUCGCCUUAAAACAAUUGGCAGCCGGCGUAUUGAUUUCGGAGCGCAGUACAUCUCGCGCUUUGCACUCAUAACGACGACGUCCAAAAGUACAUUUUUACACUCUUGACCUCGGAUCAGGUAGGGAUACCCGCUGAACUUAAGCAUAUCAAUAAGCGGAGGA
Molecule: ribosomal RNA, 582 nt
Filed under: uncultured fungus
Lineage: Eukaryota; Fungi
Description: eukaryotic LSU rRNA
Rfam family: 5.8S ribosomal RNA (bases 212-365)
Source: RNAcentral